RNAcentral lists this unclassified non-coding RNA (261 nucleotides) under Ascomycota sp. RNAcentral's name for it is "partial contains small subunit ribosomal RNA, internal transcribed spacer 1, and 5.8S ribosomal RNA". The stretch from base 1 to 47 matches the Rfam family "Eukaryotic small subunit ribosomal RNA", at positions 1785 to 1831 of the family's 1831-position model. The record is from RNAcentral. Lineage: Eukaryota; Fungi; Ascomycota.
AAAGUCGUAACAAGGUCUCCGUUGGUGAACCAGCGGAGGGAUCAUUACAGAGUUACACAACUCACCAAACCAUUGUGAACCGUACCUUUACCGUUGCUUCGGCGGGAGGCGCCCCGUGCCCCUGUGGCGCGCCGGGCGUCCCCUGGCCCCCUCGCGGGGCGCCCGCCGGAGGAAUACCCAAAACCCUUUGCAGCACAUGGCCUCUCUGAGUCUUCUGUACUGAAUAAGUCAAAACUUUCAACAACGGAUCUCUUGGUUCUG